Long non-coding RNA from Galeopterus variegatus (Sunda flying lemur), 269 nucleotides. RefSeq lists it as uncharacterized. NCBI's taxonomy places the organism in Eukaryota, Metazoa, Chordata, Mammalia, Dermoptera, Cynocephalidae. The record is from RefSeq and is a predicted model, not a curated record. The transcript is spliced from 3 exons.
CAAUUACAGGUGGAUUUGAAUUUAUUCUCUUCUGGGACAGACUUUGAAGGAGACAGAACAAUGGAUCUUUGAUAUAGGACUGCAGGGGAUGAGAAGGAAAAACCCUGGAGAUGUAAAGAUGAAGAAUAUUCUUCUGGUUCCUGAGUGGCUCACAGUCCAGCAGAGAAAUAGGCAUAAGAAGAAACAAAUAUGGCACAGUGGUCAACCUGGAAUAAAAGUGCUUUCUAGAUGGGUGCAGGGAGCAUGAUGACUGGAUUCUCGAGAAGCAG